AUGAUGGCAGUAAUAAGAUAAGGAGAUGUACUCUGAUCAUUUAUGCUAGUUCUUCCCGAGAGCCAUGUGGUGGAUAGUCCUGGACACCUGGCAUCUCUUAUGCCUCAGUUCUUCAACCACAUCCAGAGGAGUCCAAAUGAAUGAAAGUAUCUGAGAGCAGCUGCUCAGAAGAGGAAGGGCAUCAUGCUGAUCCCGACUGUGUCAAUUUGGGCAUCCUUUUCUGCCACUUCAACUUUCAAAAUCAAAUUGUUAUAAUCAAGAUGCAGAACAAGGAUCCAACGAGGGGCCAGCCAAGCUUAAUCUGCAGUUUUUCUUCCUUCUGUAUUUUUACAAAAAAUAAAUAAAAAGGAAGAAAAAUAAAUGAUUUUUUUUUCUAUUCCUUUUUCUCUUUCUUUCUAGCUUAAACAGCAAAACAGAAGACACAAGUUGACAUGUUUAAGUUGAUCAUGAUGAAUCUGAGGAUAAGUUGCUAUGCUCUGUUCUCUGAUAAAC
Molecule: long non-coding RNA, 492 nt
Filed under: Gallus gallus (chicken)
Lineage: Eukaryota; Metazoa; Chordata; Aves; Galliformes; Phasianidae
Description: lncRNA (ENSGALG00010006326.1)
Source: RNAcentral